Long non-coding RNA from Aethalodelphis obliquidens (Pacific white-sided dolphin), 6655 nucleotides. RefSeq lists it as uncharacterized. The record is from RefSeq and is a predicted model, not a curated record. NCBI's taxonomy places the organism in Eukaryota, Metazoa, Chordata, Mammalia, Artiodactyla, Delphinidae. The transcript has 5 exons.
UCCGGAGCCUGUGCUCUGCAACGGGAGAGGCUGCGGCAGGGAGAGGCCCGCGUACCGAAAAAAAAAAAAAAAAAAAAAAAAAAAAGUCCUUAAUACGCCUUGGAAGCUUAUAUGAUGCAGCUACCGUGUGCCCCUCAACCUAAAUUUGGGCCCUUGCACAUUACCCCUGCUCCAUCCUGUCACUCUCAAAGCUCCAGGCUAUUUCCUCCUAAGUAAUUCCUGUUCUUAUUUGGUUUCACCUUGUUUAAUUACCAAGGAGCGUGAUUAUUGGACUGUAUAGUAGGAAUAUGUUUAGUUUUGUAAAAAGCCACCAAAUUGUCUUUCAAAGUGAUUGUACCAUUUUGCAUUCCCCCCAGCAAUGAAUGAGAGUUCCUGUUACUCCACAUCCUCCAAACCAAAAUUUGGUGUCAUCAGUGGUUUGAAUUCACACCCUCCUAAUAAGUGUGCGGUUGUAUCUCAUUGUUGGAUCAUGCUUUUGGUGUUGUAUCUGAAAAGUCAUCACCAUACCCAAGGUCCUUUAGGUUUUCUCCUGUAUUACCCUCUAGGUACCUUUUUCAUUUUCUGAUGAGGAAAGUGAGGGACAGAGAAGUGGAGUGACUUUCCUGGUCACUUAGUAGCUGAGGAAGGAAAGGUCAAAAUCUUUGUCUCCUGAAUCUUCAUGCAGUGCCUUUACCUUGCUGACUCAGCAACCUUUCUUCAAUUUAAUCCACACGAUUUUUCUGGACAAGACAGUCCUUUUCUGUUUGGAAGGCACAUGGCCUUCCAGGGCCAGAUGUUCAAAGUUGGUCCUCUGAAGCUUCUUAGCCCUCAUUUGUUAUCCCAUCUCCUUACACAAUGAAGAGAGUGGCUGGAGUACAUGCUGCAAUGUGUUGCCUAGGUCCCUUGGUAACACUGAAGGACCCUCUUCCUCCAGCUGCAGGGAGCAUUGUCCACAGAGCCCUCAGCUGUCCAUCCUCUUCAGAAUUAUUUAAAAAGGGUCACCUUACUCAAAUUGAAGACCCGCUUCCUGAGUCAACCUGUAUCUAAUGCCUAGUUGAUGUGGAUACAACGUCUGGCCCUUUGCCCCAACUCUGCACAGCCCUCCAGGUCAUCCCCGAUUCUGAGCUGCCUGAUGAGUCAACUGAUGCUUUGUCAAAACUGCCUUCUAACCCAGCUUCUCCCUCUGCACAGUCCUGCUUCUGAACCCUUUUUCUUCCACAGGUAUCACGCGCAGGAGCAAUCUGGAAUAGAUUUCCUACAUGCUACCCUCUGUCUCAGCGUCUGCUUCCUGGGAACUCAGCCCAUGACAGUUGGUGCCAGGAGUGGUUUGAGAAACCAGAUGCUAGGAUGAGAUUUUGGAGCUGGGUCACUUGCCCCUCAGUUGGCAAUGGGGACCUCCACCCACCAGACAGUGCCUGGCAUGAGACAGCUGUGCACUUGUGAACACAUAGACUGGAGGUGAACUGGAAAAGUAUUCUUGUGGGAGAGAAUGUUCUCCAAAGUGCCAUGUUUGGGAAAUAUGGGAAACGUAACUCUAAGGAUAAUGAAGUUGGGUAGCUCUUGCUAAGCACAAUGUCCACUAGCUGCAUGGACUCAGCCAGGAGUCAUUCUUCCCGUCCCUGGUAUAUAAUUGAAGAAGACAUAUUUGGUAGUAGGCACAAUCUUGACAUUGGUUCCUUGGCCUGGGCAGUGAGAGCUAUUGUAAUGGGGAAGACUGGGUGGAAGGAAGCCUCUGAAAUUGCACCCUGCUCCUCUAGCAGGGUAGUAAGUGAAAAAGAAUACUAUAUCCUUGGGGAACAAAAGAAAUCAGUGUCAUCCUUGAAAUUCUUUCCCAUCCUAUCUCCAUUACAUUCACCAGUAUGAGCCUGAGAAAACCAGAUGGCUCCUGUGGGAUGCUUGUAGGUACCACAAGCUCAGGCAAGGACUGGUGCUAAUUGCAGCUGAUUCCUGAGAGUAUUUUUUUAGAUCAGGUAAGCAUAGCCUCAGAUUCAUGAAAUGUGGUCCUUGAUCUGGACAAUCCAUUCUCUUGUAUCUCUAUCAGAGAAACAUAUCUGGAAUACUAUAAAUUUACUUGGACAACUAUAUAAAUUUAUAGUCUGGCUCUAAGGCUAUGUUAACUUUCAGAGAUCUGGACUGGCUGGACAUUCCAUAGAACAUCCACUGGUCCACUAUAUGGAUGGAAUCAUGCUAAUUGGAUCAGAUGAAAAAAAUAAUGGCUAGUUCACUGGAACCCCAUACACUUCAGAGGAUAGAAAAAACCCUGAAAAUUUUGGGGGCCCCAUAUUAGCAACAAUUUUAGGUGUCCAGUUAUUUGGGGGUAUAUCAGAACAGGGCAAAUUAUUUCAUCUUGUGCCUCCUGGCACAAAGAAGGAUGCUCAACACCUGGUGGGCCUCUUGCUGUUCUAGAAGCUGCACAUUCCACACCUUGGAAUAUUGCUGCAGCUGAUAUACCUAGUGACGUGGAAGUUCACUAAUUCUGAUUGGGGGCUGGGGCAGGAAAGAGCCCUGAAGCAGGUCAACGCUGCUAUGCAUUAUUUGACCUUAUGACCUAGUAGACCUAUAAGAUUAGAAGUAUCCCCAGUGGUGGGAAAAGACUCCUCAUAGAAGUUAUACUAAGUACCAAAGAAGAAUCACAACACAGACCAUAGGAUUCUAGAGCAAGACCAUACCAAUUCUAACAAAUAACUUUAUACCUUUUUAAAAACAGCCGCUGGCGUGCUACUGAGCCAUGGAAGUGAUGGAAUGACUGAUCAGGAGACACCAAUGAUCAUGGAGUCAAAAGUGUCCAUCAUGGGCAGAGUUCUUUUGGGUCCACCUAGUCACAAAGUUGGGCAGGUCCAACAACCAUCCAUUGCAAGAGGGAAGCAGCACGCAUAGGAUGGAAGCAUGAGCAGGGCCAGUGCUAUAGAAAAUAGAGAUUUUUUUUGAGCAAUAAAAAUAGUCAAGAUUUCUGGACAAGCAAGAUUUGCGAGCAAGUAGCCCAGAUAGGAUCACCGUUGCAACAGAACCUCUCCCUCAGCUCACACCUAUGACCAUAUGGAGGAUCCUAACCACCAGCUGAUGGAUGAGGCAAAAACCUCAGCUUGAUUCAAGGGGAGAUGGCUGUAUUUGUGAGCUCACGUCGCAGUCCAACAGGGGUAAUAAACCCUGAUCAUCGGGACCAGGUAUGGUUUCUGUUAUACAAUGGAGACACCAGGAAGUCACCUGGGCGCCUCUCAAAAUUCCCUUGUUUGAUGAUAAAAGAGUGCAGCAGCCACAGUCUGAUAAAGGCAGGAUGACCAGGACUGAGGUUCCUCAGGGAUGAGGACAUGGGUGAUGCCACGAAGUAAGCCACCAAGACCCCGGAAGUGCUGGCCAGGAGGUAGAAGAAUCUACAAUGGUUGAAGAGGAAGGAAAUAAUGACUGUUGGUUUUGACCCUGAAACCAGCGGUAGCGCCCAGGGCUAACCUUCCUCUUUUAAGUUUCCCUCAAAAGAAUCUCCUCACCCCUCACAACCCACCCUGGGAUUCUAGAGGAGAUGUUUCCAGAACUUAAAGUAGUGGAUUUAAAUGGUAUAAAGGAAAGACUAGUGUAUGCAGUGAUGCCCCGUCUAGCUUCCCCAUCAGCACCUGAAGGGCUUAUUCCUCUACCUGCUAGGAGUGCUAUGUGCGGAUGCCCUUAGCUGUCAGCGCUUUGCAAUAUUUACCUUGGCUAAAGAGAGUUGCUUUGCCCGAGGCCACACGUCUCUUUUCUGCAGCAGCCCACAUCCAAAGACUGAAGUGCCCACCUCGUGCUCACUAGUAGGGAAGAUUCCAGAGAGAGAAUCCUAAGCCCCAAAGGACGCUGUGAGGUUGUUGAAGUUCGAGGAGCGUGAAUCCCCCAUAUCUCCCUAGAGAGGCUACUGAGAUUUCACAAGCUGGCCGGGCUCUGUCGUGGGCAGAGGGACAAGCACGAUUCCUGUGGGCAUAACUGCGUUGUCACAACAAGUUUCUGUUAAACCCGCUGAUGUGGCUGGUUUGAGGACCACACUUGGGGAACCACUGGCCUGGAGCCUCAUUCCCCCAACCUGCUGUUGGUUACACAGUAUUAUGGAAAGGCUUUGGAGUUUGGAACCAGAGAGCUAUGAGCACAAAGCCUGUUGCUAUUCCUCAUUACAUGCAUGGCCUUGAGCAAGUUACUUAACCUUGCUGGGAAUUAAUUCCCUCCUUGCUGUAAAUACACCCACUGAUGAGGUCAUCUCUGUAAAGCCCAUAAGCACAGUGCUUGGCAAAUGUUCAGGCACGUGGCCCACGCUCUACCAGUGACACUAACCUGUGUGAGGCUGAUUGAGGAGCGAUAAUAUGAAGAAGCAGGUUCCAUGAGGAAUGCAUCUUUUAGCCAGGAUGGUGGUGAAGGCAUCAAGCUUUUAGAAGACAGGAGUGGUGAAAGUUCUGGCAUCUGACAUCCAGCAAUGUGGGCACAGUCUGUCAUGUUCAUGCCCGUUGUGGGGCAGUGAGCUCUGCCUGGAGUAGGCCUGUGGUUGAACUGGGAACUGUUUCUGCAUCGGUAGCCUCCAUACAGAUUCUCUGGGCCUCCCACAGAUUCCGGGAGAUAGCUAAUACACAGGAACUGUUCAAUUCUUCAGAUUAAACUGGCUAGAAUAAAUCUGUAACUAAGAACCCCUGUACUUACAUUCUAUCCCUGGAAUAAUGCAUAGCACGUAACAGGUGUUCUGUGAUAUUUGUUGAAUGGAAUAAUUCAGUAAGUCUUUACUAUGCUUGAGCACAUGCAUAGGAAGCUGUGUGGAUUGAUCCUGACAAACUUAUUAAUGUCAUCUAUUCCAGUAGACUGUAGAAUCCCUCAAGAUAUUUGCUGUCCCUCCAUAGAAAGGAUUAAAUUUAUCUGCUUCAUUGAUGCAGGCUUGGCCAUGUCUUGCUGCAGCUGGUAAAAUCCCAGCAGAAGUGAUGGAUAUCAUUUCUGAACAGAAAAUUUAAGAACCAGCAUCUGAACCUCUGAGUUCUUUUAUUUUCCGUCUCUGAUAAGAGGCAAGUUUCCAAAAAGAGACUGCUCUGUUAGCUGAGGUCCUAGAGAGAAUGGGACAUAAAGAAGGGAUGAGGCUGACCUGCAGUGAACAUGCAGCAUGGUGGAGGGCAAGUCAGGGAGAUGUUGACGUUGUUUAUUUCCUUGGUAUAACCUAGUUUGUCCUAAUGGAUACACCCGCUUAUAGAUGCAGACACCAAGGACAAAUGGUAAUUGAGAUAUGAUUUGAAUCCAGGCAUUUUUACCUGGGAGCCCCUUAUAUCUUAACCAUAUGCUAACCCUGACCCAGCUUAAUGAAGAAGACAAAAGUAAAAACCAACACCAAUCAUCGAUAUAAUUAUGAAUGAGAAAUUAGAAAUAACCACACAUUCUGAGGAUGUUUAAAGCACUAUUAAACAGCACCUUGCAAGACAAUAUGCAAAUAUAUUUGGAGACUUGGAUGAGAGGAUAAUUUUCUACAGAACAAAAUUAACCUCAGAAGAUAAAAAGACAUGAAACAGAAUGACCACCACAAUAGAAAUGGAAAAAAUUAUUAAAGAUCUACUACCCACCUCCCUGACUCCUACACCUGCUGGCCACUGCUGAAAAUAUAGCGUAGAUUCCUUCAUGGGUGAAUUGUUUCAAAUCUUUAAGUAACAGGUAAUUCCAGUGCUAUUUAACCUGUUCCAGAGCAUUGAGAAAUAUACAAAGCUUUCAAAUUAUUUUUAGAAAGCCAAAGUAACAUUGUACCAAAACCUACAAAGAUAGCACUAAAGAAGAAAUCUAACAUCCAAUCUCACUUAAGAAUAGGGCUGACAAAUCUUAAAUUAAAUAUUAAAAAUACAUAACUCAACAAAACAUUAAAAUACAGCAAAUAAAAUUCAUUUCGCAAGCUAAGUACUUGACAUAUAUUAUGAUAAUGCAUUCUACUAAUACAGAUCAAAGAAAAAAAUGUUCACCUCAAUCAAUGGCCAGAAGACAUUUAAUGAAGUUCAAUAAUUAGUUCUGAUUUAGAAACACAGACAAACAUGCAAACACAUAGGAAAACGAUAAUAGAAGAACACUUUCUUCACCAAACAACAAUAAAAAAUGUAUUUCAAGCCCUAGGUCAGACAUUAUGUGACUUUAAAAGACACUAGAAACUUUAAAACAAGGCUUCCCACUCUCAGGACUAUUUUGAGACAUUGUUUGCUAUACACAGUCUACUACAGUUAGAUAAAUGUAGGAGUAAGUGACAGAAAUACUAUAUCAAGAAGACUAAGAAAAUAAAUUGGAUAAACUAUGAGAACAAUGAGAUCUCAAAAAUGUAACUGUUUUCACACAAGUAAUAAGUACACAUACACAGAACUUUUGUUUCUUCUUAAAAUAGAGUAAGAGGGACUAAAUUUACCCUCCUAAUGGAAACAACCCAAAACCUGAUGAAAUAUAUAAAACAACAGUUUUUGAAACAAUGGUCAUCAGGCAGUGAAGCACACUGAUUCCUGAAACAGGGAAAGCAAACCAUGUGAGUCUUCUGAUUUCUCCAGUUUACUGCCCUUAGACAGUUUCCAGCCUGUGGUUCAGGGAGAGGAAACCAGGUGGAACUCAGCUGAUUCCCUGAGUUGAGGAAAUUGUUUUAGGAAAGAGCAAUAAUUCAGGGAAUAGAAGAAAAAAUUUUAAAUCUAUAAUUAAAAUCUUCAGAGGAUCAAGAGAAGUUAUU